Struthio camelus australis is the source of this 896-nucleotide non-coding RNA. The record is from RefSeq and is a predicted model, not a curated record. Lineage: Eukaryota; Metazoa; Chordata; Aves; Struthioniformes; Struthionidae.
GUGCAACCACAAUAUCCUAGGAGCAGCAAUCAGCACCCAGUCAGUCUUUGUCUGGAGCUGUGAAUAGACCCUCAAGAAGAAAUGGAAAAAACCCAGUCAAACACUUAAAGGCUAGACUCCCUACGGACUGAGGAACUGAGCUACUGUCUGCGCCUUUGUGGUCAGGGGACUGUGCAGGGAAUGCAAACUCUAGUCCCCUAGAGGAAGGCACUGCAUGCCCUGUGCUCCAGGGCAAACAGAAGGAGCAGGACUGCUACCACCAGUUUUACCUGAGAGCACCAUGGCUUAAUUUACUGGCCAGUUCCAGUAAAAGGUGUGGGCCUGGAGGCUUUUCCAUCCUGAGGCUCUGGUCCCUCCCUGUAAAGCACAGAGAGUCUGGGUGCCUCUGCCCGUGAAUCUCGUCAAGCUACAGCACACCGGACCAUGAGCCACCACAACACGAAGCUUAAAGUUUCUGUGGAACUAGCCUGAAUCUUGGCAGUAUUCUUAGUAAUGUCAGAGGAAAUAUUGAAAUACAGCCAAGAAUAAAUAAAGAUGCAAUUUGCAUUGCUUUUGAAUGCAUUUAUAUCACUCUUACACAGUAACACAGAAUAUAUUCAGCAGUGGGCACCGGGAGAUACUGCCAGACUACAGAGAACCUAAAGAACAGCAGGAAAGGGAACCUGUGUGUAUGACUUUUGAGGAAUUUUUAGAAGAACUAAGCAGAAACUAAGUAGAUAUAUGACCACGGUCUACAAAUAUUUGAAAGGUAUAAACGCUGUACUAGGAAAGGAAUUAUUUGUCAUAAACAUUAAGGAAGCAACGUGAAAAAUGGGUGAAUAUCUGGGCACUGUGAGUUCUUCUAGCUUGUGAAGUAUAAACUUGUAUAAACACUAAAACAUUUACAAUAAGGCAUA